This 301-nucleotide ribosomal RNA is filed under the name uncultured bacterium. Its description in RNAcentral is "partial 16S ribosomal RNA". It matches the Rfam family "Bacterial small subunit ribosomal RNA", at positions 509 to 808 of the family's 1533-position model. The record is from RNAcentral.
CAGUCGCCGCGGUAACACGUAUGUCACAAGCGUUAUCCGGAUUUAUUGGGCGUAAAGGGAGCGCAGGCGGUUUAGUAAGUCUGAAGUUAAAGGCAUUGGCUCAACCAAUGUAUGCUUUGGAAACUGUUAGACUUGAGUGCAGAAGGGGAGAGUGGAAUUCCAUGUGUAGCGGUGAAAUGCGUAGAUAUAUGGAGGAACACCGGUGGCGAAAGCGGCUCUCUGGUCUGUCACUGACGCUGAGGCUCGAAAGCGUGGGUAGCGAACAGGAUUAGAUACCCCAGUAGUCCCUGUCUCUUAUACA